RNAcentral lists this ribosomal RNA (441 nucleotides) under uncultured bacterium. Its description in RNAcentral is "partial 16S ribosomal RNA". It matches the Rfam family "Bacterial small subunit ribosomal RNA", at positions 338 to 795 of the family's 1533-position model. The record is from RNAcentral.
CCUACGGGUGGCAGCAGUGGGGAAUAUUGCACAAUGGGGGGAAGCCUGAUGCAGCGACGCCGCGUGAGCGAGGCAGUAUUUCGGUAUGUAAAGCUCUAUCAGCAGGGACGAAAAAAGACGGUACCUGACUAAGAAGCCCCGGCUCACUACGUGCCAGAAGCCGCGGGAAUACGUAGGGGGCAAGCGUUAUCCGGAUGUACUGGGUGUUUAGGGAGUGUAGACGGCAAGGCAAGCCAGAAGUGAAAGGGCAGGGGUCAACCCUGUACAUGUUUUUGGAACUGGGGUGCUAGAGUGCAGGAGAGGUAAGGGGAAUUCCUAGUGUAGCGGUGAAAUGCGUAGAUAUUAGGAGGAACACCAGUGGCGAAGGCGGCUUACUGGACUGUAACUGACGUUGAGGCUCGAAAGCGUGGGGAGCAAACAGGAUUAGAUACCCGGGUAGUC